GACGAACGCUGGCGGCGUGCCUAAUACAUGCAAGUCGAACGCUGAAGGAGGAGCUUGCUUCUCUGGAUGAGUUGCGAACGGGUGAGUAACGCGUAGGUAACCUGCCUGGUAGCGGGGGAUAACUAUUGGAAACGAUAGCUAAUACCGCAUAAUAGUAGAUGUUGCAUGACAUUUGCUUAAAAGGUGCAAUUGCAUCACUACCAGAUGGACCUGCGUUGUAUUAGCUAGUUGGUGAGGUAACGGCUCACCAAGGCGACGAUACAUAGCCGACCGGAGAGGGUGGUCGGCCACACUGGGACUGUGACACGGCCCAGAGUCCUACGGGAGGCAGCAGUAGGGAUUCUUCGGCAAUGGGCGGAAGUCUGACCGAGCAACGCCGCGUGAGUGAAGAAGGUUUUCGGAUCGUAAAGCUCUGUUGUAAGAGAAGAACGAGUGUGAGCGUGGAAAGUUCACACUGUGACGGUAACGUACCAGAAAGGGACGGCUAACUACGUG
RNAcentral lists this ribosomal RNA (495 nucleotides) under uncultured bacterium. RNAcentral describes it as "partial 16S ribosomal RNA". It matches the Rfam family "Bacterial small subunit ribosomal RNA", at positions 28 to 507 of the family's 1533-position model. The record is from RNAcentral.